CCUACGGGGGGCAGCAGUGGGGAAUAUUGGACAAUGGGGGGAACCCUGAUCCAGCCAUGCCGCGUGUGUGAAGAAGGCCCUCGGGUUGUAAAGCACUUUCAGUGAGGAAGAACGCCUGGUAGUUAAUACCCAUCAGGAAAGACAUCACUCACAGAAGAAGCACCGGCUAACUCCGUGCCAGCAGCCGCGGUAAUACGGAGGGUGCGAGCGUUAAUCGGAAUUACUGGGCGUAAAGCGCGCGUAGGUGGCUUGAUAAGCCGGUUGUGAAAGCCCCGGGCUCAACCUGGGAACGGCAUCCGGAACUGUCAAGCUAGAGUGCAGGAGAGGAAGGUAGAAUUCCCGGUGUAGCGGUGAAAUGCGUAGAGAUCGGGAGGAAUACCAGUGGCGAAGGCGGCCUUCUGGACUGACACUGACACUGAGGUGCGAAAGCGUGGGUAGCAAACAGGAUUAGAUACCCCAGUAGUC
This 465-nucleotide ribosomal RNA is filed under the name Vreelandella stevensii. RNAcentral describes it as "partial 16S ribosomal RNA". It matches the Rfam family "Bacterial small subunit ribosomal RNA", at positions 338 to 795 of the family's 1533-position model. The record is from RNAcentral. Lineage: Bacteria; Pseudomonadati; Pseudomonadota; Gammaproteobacteria; Oceanospirillales; Halomonadaceae.